This is a long non-coding RNA of Octopus bimaculoides (California two-spot octopus), 2345 nucleotides long. NCBI's taxonomy places the organism in Eukaryota, Metazoa, Mollusca, Cephalopoda, Octopoda, Octopodidae. The record is from RefSeq and is a predicted model, not a curated record.
UUAUACUGAGGGGUCGAACCCUGGGUCUUGUGAUUGCGAAGCGAACUUCGUUAACCAUUCAGCUCUGCUAGUUCUCUUUCAACUGGAGUUUAUCCCCUGGCCAACCCUAAAUUAUUAGACAUUUUGGUCGUGCCCAUCCCACUUUAUUGUAAAUCCAAUACUGCACUGUUCAGUGUGACUUUUUAAAAAAUCUUGGCUGCUAUUUCUAACAGUUCGCUUGAAGAUAUCUGUUGACCGAAAUUGUACGAGGUCUGUGUUUGCUCCUUGCAUCUUGUUUUCAGUCCCUCCAAAGACCCAACUAAGCUAACUUGGAACUCUCGUCUUUAACUUCAGUUGAACCGUUCCCAGUCCUAAGACUGCACUAGUCGUGCAGACCUAAUCAAAGGAGUUUAUUUUUAACCAGACGUAAUGUAACCCUAUACUUUAUAGAAACAUUUAUUUCUACGUGGGGGAAAUUUGGUUUCCAUUGAAGAGACUUGGUCGUUGACACGAGCCACAUAAGUUUACGCAGUGAACCAUUUCAAGCGAGGCAAUUAGUGUUAUCCUCGUUGGUGAGGGGUCACUGUACCAUCCUUCCUUUAUCUGCUUGGCAACUAAAUUCUGACCCCACGUUGUUGGCUUGUCACCAGUAACCGAUUUUCCUGUUGAAGCCUACAGUAAAAUUACCUUGAUGGGGAGGGGUUAAACCAAUUUCUUAAAACCCUUUCUUGAAUUUUCAUGGUGUAGUUUGCCGUAGCUAUUCAAAGUAAACACCAGUUAAUUAUCGCCUGUAGUGGUCUUUGAAAAGAAAAAUGUUUGACUGUCCUAAGGUUUUUUUUUUUUUUUUUAAUGCUUCUAAUUGUUUUGUAACGAAAAAAAAAACGUUGUCUUUAAAAUAAUAUACACUGUAUAUCGUUGAAAAGUAUUUCCUUAGCCUCAGUAGGGGCUCGCUGUUAACUUAGUUUUUGCAGUGUUUUUUUUUUCUUCUUCUCUAAGCACGGGUGAUUGCACACACUAACAAGUCCCUAUCGUCGCCAAACUUUUUCCCUACGUUCCUCCACUUAAUGCAUGGACUAGAAACUUUACCGGCGCAAAAUUCUUUACUUCAUUAUGUUGGACAGUUUAGAAGAAAAAAAUUAACUUGUCGCCAUCCUCUGCAAUCACAGGGUUCCUGUUAGAAACACUGCAAUCAGCAAGAAGUACUCAGUGAUUGAAUCAGGCAGAAAAUGAGCAACGUGGUUUCGAUUCCUAUGGUGUCAGGGAGGUCGUUUUAUUUCUUACUGUUGUCAGUCAAAUCCAGUCCUCACUUUAUUCUCCAGCUUCAAAGUGUUUUUUCUUCUCCGUGUGUAAGAUAAAUGGAAAUAUUGUUUCAUUUAUUCAGUUCCCAAGUCAACAUAGAACUGACUGAUUAUGAAAGCCAUGACCAUCUUGAUAGGAUGUGAUUUGAGGAAGAUUUAGCUGCUGUGUCUUGCAAGUCAAACGACUACAUAGGGGAGAUUCCUUCGUUUGGUUUCUUUUUUAGCUACCGGCAUUCAUGUUGGCGUGAGAUAAAGUCGUUUGCUGUUCUUCUACUGCUAGCAUGAUCCGAAGUUGUCUUUCGCUAGUGAAAAGAAAUUAGCAACAGGAAUUGCUGGUCCAAUAAGAACCAAUGGUAGUUGGAUACCUUGUGGUUGGGAGUUCAAAUCUUUGACGUCACUUUUCUCUUAUGCUAUCUCGUUGUGUUACCAGUAAGAUUUAAUCAGUAAUAAAUCUUCAGAGGACACUGAUCUGCUUGCUUGUCCUGAUAGAAAUAACUAUAUUUAAUUCCCUCAAAUUAGUAAACGGUCUUCAAAAUUUGCUAAAAUGGAUAUUGGUUAGUGUUCUGUGUGUGGGGGGGUGAAAAUUGACAGUAAGCCAACUUUCAGGAGCCGAGAAUACUACUGAUAAUAACAGGGGCAGAUUUUCUAUACCAGAUGCCUUUCCUGUCGCCAACUUUUACCCGUUUCCAAGCAAGGUCACUGCCUGGAAUCAAACUCGGAAUCUUGGAGUUAGUCGCCCGCGCUCUGAAUCACUACGCCAUAUGCCCAUGGGCAUAUGGCAUAGUGACCUAAUAAUAAUAGCAACAACAACAUUGAAAAAUACCUUAAGAACAAGAACCCAGGUUCGAAAUUUCUCCAAGACACCUGAAGAAGGCUGGAGGGUAUGUCAGCCGAAACGCUGUGUUAACAACAAACAAGAUGAAGACAAAUAUCUGUCAAUUGUAAAUAAUGUAGAUCAGGGGUUCCCCAACCAUCGGGCCACUCCUGCGCCUAUACACAGGGGUUGGACAAAAUAAUGGGAACACUUGACAUCAUAAUUUUGAAAUAUCUAUAAAACCAUCAAAACUU